Molecule: ribosomal RNA, 327 nt
Filed under: uncultured bacterium
Lineage: Bacteria
Description: bacterial SSU rRNA
Rfam family: Bacterial small subunit ribosomal RNA
Source: RNAcentral
AGUGAACGCUGGCGGCAGGCCUAACACAUGCAAGUCGAGCGGCAGCGGGUUCCCGCGAGGGGAUGCCGGCGAGCGGCGGACGGGUGAGGAACACAUCGGAAUCUGCCUGGUUGUGGGGGAUAACGUAGGGAAACUUACGCUAAUACCGCAUGAGACCCUGAGUCGACGGACUGGGGGUGAAAGUGAGGGACCUUCGGGCCUCACGCGACCAGAUGAGCCGAUGUCGGAUUAGCUAGUUGGCGGGGUAACGGCCCGCCAAGGCGACGAUCCGUAGCUGGUCUGAGAGGAUGAUCAGCCACACUGGGACUGAGACACGGCCCAGACUCC